GAUCUGCUCGUCACGGGCUCCCACGUGGUGUUGCCAAAAGUACCCUUGGACUCCGGGCCGGGGAGGGCCGGGUGCCUGCCUCCCUGCCUCCUAACUGAGACCGGGUCUCGCCGCGUGGUUCGAGCUGGCCUCGAACUCACUGUGUCGCCCAGGCUGGCCUCGAGCUCUCGGCGAUCCUCCUGCCUCAGCCUCCCGAGCGCUGGGAUUACAGCCCGGCUCGAAUCUGUAUUUCUAACCAACACCCACACCCAAGCGAGUCUGGCAACGAGAGGGGUCAGCGUCCGAAGCAAGUCCAUAGAGGCUCAUUCCUCUUUCAGGUUAAACGCUGGCGAAGCAGUUGCAUCCCACCUCUUUCUGAUCUCUGAAAUGAGUUCUGGUGAAAGAAACCCAACUCACAGACCUGGUGUGCAGUUACUAGAAUGGCACUGUGGCGCACAUCUGAAUCCUGGUGACAAAGGAGAACUGUAACUCCCGACCUGCUGGGUGUCAGAUGUGCCGAGUUCGUGGUCCCACAGCAUUGAGAAAUGAAGUUGCAAACCAAAAGAACUGCCUGUAAUACCAGCACAGGAGCCUGAGGCAGGAGGAUUGCUCAAGGCCAGCCUGGGCUACAUAGUUGAAGACCAGCCCAAACUACAUAGCAAGACUGUAUCUCAAAAAGCCAAAAAUAAAAAAUUUUUAAUGUCAUUAUAGAAGUUUUUAAAAAGUUGGGGCGGGCAUGGUGAUGCAUAUCUGUGAUCCCAGCACUUGGGAGGCUGAGGCAGGAGGAUUUGCCGCGAGUUCUCAGCCAGCCUGGGCUACAUAGUGAAUUCAAGCCCAGGCUCUGUCUCAAAAAUAAAUAAAAUUUUUUUAAAAAAAUAAAUUUUCAAUAAGAAAAGGUUAGAUUUCUGACAAAGGUUACAUAUGCUUCUUCUAAGCCAACUGAUUGAAAAUGGAGCUGUUUUAAAUUAAGUUUAUUAAAAAUGUGGCCACAGGGCCGGGGAUUUAGCUCAGUGGUUUCACCGCCUGCUGCACAAGCGCAAGGACCCGAGUUCCAUCCCUGGUACCAAAAAAAUAAAAUAAAACAUUUUUAAAAAUGUGGCCACAAGUGUUCAGGGCUGUAGGAGGGAAGAUGGUUAAAGGCGCUCGCAUUGCAAAUGCAGUUUUGGAACAGGAGUAUGGGAAAGGAAGGGAAGCCAAGAUUGCCAAACCUACAGACAUUUCCCUGCGGAUUUCAAGGAAAGCAACAACUCAGGAAAGUGUGGCGCUCCGCUAGAGGCAAGCUAGAAAUGCAGGCAUGCACAGCAAAGUGUUCUGCAUAGCACGGGAAGGGCCCGCUCACUCGGGCAGCUUGCGGCGUAAAAUAAACCAAGCUCAAAUUCCCUGGCAGACAUCUGAGCGAUCUUUGCCACGAGUUGUGGCGGUCGUGGCCUCCAGUCUUCAUGACACUCACCCGCACAGUCAUCUGGUCACCUUACCCAAGUACUCUCCUUAGCCACAGGAGUCUUCUUCAAGUUCGGAGGCUUUUGGUGCAAAGGCUUGUCCUCCCUUCAGGGCCCAGCCGCUGCAGGCUUACAGCAACUUCUGCCCACCUGUAGGACAGGUGGUUGUAGGACGACCAGCGUCCAGGGAUCACUUCUGAAAUCUGGAAGAAAAAAAUAC
RNAcentral lists this long non-coding RNA (1638 nucleotides) under Heterocephalus glaber (naked mole-rat). RNAcentral describes it as "lncRNA (ENSHGLG00000046709.1)". The record is from RNAcentral. Lineage: Eukaryota; Metazoa; Chordata; Mammalia; Rodentia; Bathyergidae.